Molecule: ribosomal RNA, 494 nt
Filed under: uncultured bacterium
Lineage: Bacteria
Description: partial 16S ribosomal RNA
Rfam family: Bacterial small subunit ribosomal RNA
Source: RNAcentral
GACGAACGCUGGCGGCGUGCUUAACACAUGCAAGUCGAACGGUGAAGCGCCUUCCUUUUUGGUGGGUGUGGAUGAGUGGCGAACGGGUGAGUAACACGUGAGUAACCUGCCCCCUUCUUCUGGAUAACCGCAUGAAAGUGUGGCUAAUACGGGAUAUUCUGGGUCUGUCGCAUGAUGGGUCUGGGAAAGAUAUUGUUUCGGUGGGGGAUGGGCUCGCGGCCUAUCAGCUUGUUGGUGGGGUGAUGGCCUACCAAGGCGGUGACGGGUAGCCGGCCUGAGAGGGUGGACGGUCACACAGGGACUGAGACACGGCCCAGACUCCUACGGGAGGCAGCAGGGGGGAAUAUUGCACGAUGGGCGCAAGCCUGAUGCAGCGACGCCGCGUGAGGGAUGGAGGCCUUCGGGUUGUGAACCUCUUUCGCCAGUGAAGCAGGCCUGCCUCGUUUGUGGGUGGGUUGACGGUAGCUGGAUAAGAAGCGCCGGCUAACUACGUG